Drosophila guanche is the source of this 192-nucleotide long non-coding RNA. RefSeq lists it as uncharacterized. The record is from RefSeq and is a predicted model, not a curated record. Lineage: Eukaryota; Metazoa; Arthropoda; Insecta; Diptera; Drosophilidae. The transcript is spliced from 3 exons.
CAGAAAGACAGACCACAGUCGGUCAUAGAAAGGGGCAGAGGAAGAGAGUGGCCGACACACACAUAAAAGUUCUAUACUUUUAUUUUUAUACGCAGCCCAAAAAUAAUCGCAUUAUGAUAAGAAAAAAGAGCGCAGCCAACCAUCUCUCGCUCAGCCCCACUCUCUCACUCUCUAUCUCACACUCCAUCUGUG